UGGCGGACGGGUGAGUAAUGUCUGGGAAACUGCCCGAUGGAGGGGGAUAACUACUGGAAACGGUAGCUAAUACCGCAUAACGUCGCAAGACCAAAGAGGGGGACCUUAGGGCCUCUUGCCAUCGGAUGUGCCCAGACGGGAUUAGCUAGUAGGUGGGGUAAUGGCUCACCUAGGCGACGAUCCCUAGCUGGUCUGAGAGGAUGACCAGCCACACUGGAACUGAGACACGGUCCAG
RNAcentral lists this ribosomal RNA (235 nucleotides) under uncultured bacterium. Its description in RNAcentral is "partial 16S ribosomal RNA". It matches the Rfam family "Bacterial small subunit ribosomal RNA", at positions 96 to 334 of the family's 1533-position model. The record is from RNAcentral.